AUUGAACGCUGGCGGCAUGCUUUACACAUGCAAGUCGAACGGGCUUGGGGGCUUGCUCCCAAGUUAGUGGCGAACGGGUGAGUAAUACAUCGGAACGUACCGUGUAGUGGGGGAUAACGUAGCGAAAGUUACGCUAAUACCGCAUACAAUCUACGGAUGAAAGCAGGGGACCUUCGGGCCUUGUGCUAUACGAGCGGCCGAUGUCUGAUUAGCUAGUUGGUGAGGUAAAGGCUCACCAAGGCGACGAUCAGUAGCGGGUCUGAGAGGAUGAUCCGCCACACUGGGACUGAGACACGGCCCAGACUCCUACGGGAGGCAGCAGUGGGGAAUUUUGGACAAUGGGCGAAAGCCUGAUCCAGCCAUGCCGCGUGUCUGAAGAAGGCCU
Molecule: ribosomal RNA, 385 nt
Filed under: uncultured bacterium
Lineage: Bacteria
Description: bacterial SSU rRNA
Rfam family: Bacterial small subunit ribosomal RNA
Source: RNAcentral